GGUCAAGCGUAAAGGGCGCAUGGCGGAUGCCUUGGCAUCAAGAGCCGAAGAAGGGCGUGGUAAGACUGCGAUAAGCCUCGGUUAGCUGUCUGGCAAGCUUAGCCGGGGAUUCCCGAAUGAGGCAACUCACUCAGGUAAAACCUGGGUACCCCUAGCUGAACACAUAGGCUAGGUGGAGGUAAGCGGGGGAAGUGAAACAUCUCAGUACCCCGAGGAAAAGACAAUAUUCUCCUAGUAGUGGCGAACGAACGGGGACCAGCCUAAACUCUAUAAACCUAACGGUUUCAAGGCCUGAGUUUAUAAGAGGGUUGUAAGGCAGAUCUGGUCCGGCUUGAAACGGGCCGAGGAGUUACAAACCGAACUCUAGUUGAAGGUUUCUGGAAAGAACAACCACAGACGGUGACAGUCCGGUAAACGAAAGGGGGAGGCUCCUGAUCUGUUCUUGAGUACCACGGGACACGAGGAAUCUUGUGGGAAGCUACCCUGACCACAGGGUAAGGCUAAAUACUCUUGAUGACCGAUAGUGAACUAGUACCGUGAGGGAAAGGUGAAAAGCACCCCGGGAGGGGAGUGAAAUAGAUCUGAAACCAUGUGCCUACAAGCAGUCAGAGUUCCGGUUCGCCGGAAUGAUGGCGUGCCUAUUGAAGAAUGAGCCGACGAGUUAAUCUAUGUAGCAGGUUAAGUAAUAGAAGUUACGGAGCCACAGCGAAAGCGAGUCUGAAUAGGGAGUAAGUUGCAUAGAUUAGACCCGAAGCCGGGUGAGCUACCCAUGGUCAGGAUGAAGCUUCGAUAAUCUCGAAGUGGAGGUCCGAACUGUUUAGCAUUGCAAAGCUAUCGGAUGAACUGUGGGUAGGGGUGAAAUGCCAAACGAACUCGGUGAUAGCUGGUUCUCCCCGAAAUGCAUCGAGGUGCAGCCUCAGAUAUUUGCUAAUGGAGGUAGGGCACUGGAUAGACUAAGUGAGAGAGAUCUUGCUGAAUCUAACCAAACCACGAAUGCCAUUAGCUAACAAUCUGGGAGUGAGACUGCGGGGGCUAAGCUCCGUAGUCGAGAGGGAAACAGCCCAGACCAUCAGCUAAGGUCCCUAAUAACAUACUAAGUGGCAAAGGAAGUUGGAUUGCAUAGACAGCCAGGAGGUUGGCUCAGAAGCAGCCACCCUUUAAAGAGUGCGUAAC
RNAcentral lists this ribosomal RNA (1173 nucleotides) under Dehalococcoidales bacterium. RNAcentral describes it as "partial 23S ribosomal RNA". It matches the Rfam family "Bacterial large subunit ribosomal RNA", at positions 1 to 1138 of the family's 2925-position model. The record is from RNAcentral. Lineage: Bacteria; Bacillati; Chloroflexota; Dehalococcoidia; Dehalococcoidales.